Molecule: unclassified non-coding RNA, 243 nt
Filed under: plant metagenome
Description: partial contains small subunit ribosomal RNA and internal transcribed spacer 1
Rfam family: Eukaryotic small subunit ribosomal RNA (bases 1-46)
Source: RNAcentral
CAGUCGUAACAAGGUUUCCGUAGGUGAACCUGCGGAAGGAUCAUUAACGAGUUCUUGAACGGGUUGUAGCUGGCUCUUUUUUAGGAGCAUGUGCACGCCUGGCUCAAUUCCACUCCUUAACCUCUGUGCACUUAUUGUAGGCCGGUGGAGGCUGGCGCAAGUCAGUUUGAAGCCUUCCUAUGUUUUAUUACAAACGUAUCAGUUAUAGAAUGUCUUACUUUGCUAUAGUGCAAUUAUAUACAA